UACGUAGGGUGCGAGCGUUGCCCGGAUUUACUGGGCGUAAAGAGCGCGCAGGCGGUCGUUCAAGUCGCGUGUGAAAGCCCCCGGCUCAACUGGGGAGGGUCACGCGAUACUGAUCGACUGGAAGGCAGGAGAGGGUAGUGGAAUUCCCGGUGUAGUGGUGAAAUGCGUAGAUAUCGGGAGGAACACCAGUGGCGAAGGCGACUACCUGGCCUGUUCUUGACGCUGAGGCGCGAAAGCUAGGGGAGCAAACGGG
RNAcentral lists this ribosomal RNA (253 nucleotides) under uncultured bacterium. RNAcentral describes it as "partial 16S ribosomal RNA". It matches the Rfam family "Bacterial small subunit ribosomal RNA", at positions 524 to 776 of the family's 1533-position model. The record is from RNAcentral.